This 226-nucleotide unclassified non-coding RNA is filed under the name Hevea brasiliensis (rubber tree). Lineage: Eukaryota; Viridiplantae; Streptophyta; Magnoliopsida; Malpighiales; Euphorbiaceae. The record is from RNAcentral.
AGCAGAUGCUGCUGGGCUUUUAUUGGAUAAGAGGGAGGAUUUUGUUUCAGUUGAUUGCUAAGUGGCUAAGUAUGACACCUGCAGACAAUUGCCCUCUGCAUGCAUCUAGAGAGAUGAUCUUACAUAUAUACAGCCUCAGGUAUCCAGCAGCUGAAGCAAUGUUGUUCAGAAACAAAAGGCCGAAACUCCAAUUCCAACGAUCUGAAACCGAAUCAGAAAAAAAAAA